RNAcentral lists this ribosomal RNA (385 nucleotides) under uncultured bacterium. Its description in RNAcentral is "bacterial SSU rRNA". It matches the Rfam family "Bacterial small subunit ribosomal RNA", at positions 355 to 737 of the family's 1533-position model. The record is from RNAcentral.
UAAGGAAUAUUGGUCAAUGGACGCAAGUCUGAACCAGCCAUGCCGCGUGAAGGAUUAAGGUCCUCUGGAUUGUAAACUUCUUUUAUAUGGGACGAAAAAAGGUCUUUCUAGACCCCUUGACGGUACCAUAUGAAUAAGCACCGGCUAACUCCGUGCCAGCAGCCGCGGUAAUACGGAGGGUGCAAGCGUUAUCCGGAUUCACUGGGUUUAAAGGGUGCGUAGGCGGGUAGGUAAGUCAGUGGUGAAAUCCUGGAGCUCAACUCCAGAACUGCCAUUGAUACUAUCUAUCUUGAAUAUUGUGGAGGUAAGCGGAAUAUGUCAUGUAGCGGUGAAAUGCUUAGAUAUGACAUAGAACACCCAUUGCGAAGGCAGCUUACUACGCAUA